GGGUGGAUAGCUCAGGUGGUUAGAGCACCAGCCUUACAAGCUGGGGGUCACAGGUUCGAAUCCUGUUCCACCCC
This 74-nucleotide transfer RNA is filed under the name Candidatus Sumerlaea sp. Its description in RNAcentral is "tRNA-Val". It matches the Rfam family "tRNA". Rfam says of the family: Transfer RNA (tRNA) molecules are approximately 80 nucleotides in length. Their secondary structure includes four short double-helical elements and three loops (D, anti-codon, and T loops). Lineage: Bacteria; Candidatus Sumerlaeota; Candidatus Sumerlaeia; Candidatus Sumerlaeales; Candidatus Sumerlaeaceae. The record is from RNAcentral.